GCAAUGGUGGUUCAGUGUUAGAAUCCUUGCCUUCUGCGAGGGAGACCCAGGUUUGAUUCCUGGUUAAUGUA
RNAcentral lists this transfer RNA (71 nucleotides) under Loxodonta africana (African savanna elephant). It matches the Rfam family "tRNA". Rfam says of the family: Transfer RNA (tRNA) molecules are approximately 80 nucleotides in length. Their secondary structure includes four short double-helical elements and three loops (D, anti-codon, and T loops). Lineage: Eukaryota; Metazoa; Chordata; Mammalia; Proboscidea; Elephantidae. The record is from Rfam by way of RNAcentral.